This is a long non-coding RNA of Ornithodoros turicata, 334 nucleotides long. RefSeq lists it as uncharacterized. NCBI's taxonomy places the organism in Eukaryota, Metazoa, Arthropoda, Arachnida, Ixodida, Argasidae. The transcript is spliced from 3 exons. The record is from RefSeq and is a predicted model, not a curated record.
AUAGUAUCGACGGCUCCAGGAAACAACUUCCACGCUGUCCUUGACUGCCCGGACGGCGUCUUCCACCUGUUUGUCUUUGGUCACGUCCAGUGGAAGCACGGUCACAUUCUCCGAGCACGUCUCCCGCAGCUUUUGCGCUCCGUCGCCGUCAGGAAAGAGACAACCGGCGUACACCGUGAACCCGCGUUGGUCCAGGCGCUUCACAAGCUCGUGACCGAAACCUGUGUCGCAUCCUGAAGAGAAACCGACGCCAAAAUGAUUUCGCUGCCUGCUGGACUCUGGACAAAAAGGCAUCAGCCUUGCGAGGGUCCACAGCCCGUGGAGUAGAUGCAGC